GACGAACGCUGGCGGCGUGCCUAAUACAUGCAAGUAGGACGCAGUUGCGAACGGGUGAGUAACACGUAGGUAACUACCUAUUAGAGGGGGAUAACUAUUGGAAACGAUAGCUACUACCGCAUACUAGUAGAUGGACAUGCGUUUUAUUAGCUAGUAGGUAGGGUAAUGGCCUAACUAGGCAACGAUACAUAGCCGAACUGUGCGGGUGGUCCGCCAAACUGGUACGGAGACACGGCCCAGACUCCUACGGGAGGAAGCAGUAGGGAAUCGUCGGCAAUGGACGAAAGUCUGACCGAGCAACGCCGCGUCAUUGAAGAAGGUUUUCGGAUCGUAAAACUCUGUUGUUAGAGAAGCGGUAUCUAACCAGAAAGCCACGGCUAACUACGUGCCAGCAGCCGCGGUAAUUC
RNAcentral lists this ribosomal RNA (407 nucleotides) under uncultured bacterium. RNAcentral describes it as "partial 16S ribosomal RNA". It matches the Rfam family "Bacterial small subunit ribosomal RNA", at positions 28 to 526 of the family's 1533-position model. The record is from RNAcentral.